RNAcentral lists this ribosomal RNA (452 nucleotides) under uncultured bacterium. RNAcentral describes it as "bacterial SSU rRNA". It matches the Rfam family "Bacterial small subunit ribosomal RNA", at positions 8 to 507 of the family's 1533-position model. The record is from RNAcentral.
AGAGUUUGAUCCUGGCUCAGAACGAACGCUGGCGGCAUGCCUAACACAUGCAAGUCGAACGAGACCUUCGGGUCUAGUGGCGCACGGGUGCGUAACGCGUGGGAAUCUGCCCUUCGGUUCGGAAUAACUCAGGGAAACUUGAGCUAAUACCGGAUAAUGACGUAAGUCCAAAGAUUUAUCGCCGAAGGAUGAGCCCGCGUAGGAUUAGCUUGUUGUGGGGUAAUGGCCCACCAAGGCGACGAUCCUUAGCUGGUCUGAGAGGAUGAUCAGCCACACUGGGACUGAGACACGGCCCAGACUCCUACGGGAGGCAGCAGUGGGGAAUAUUGGACAAUGGGCGAAAGCCUGAUCCAGCAAUGCCGCGUGAGUGAUGAAGGCCUUAGGGUUGUAAAGCUCUUUUACCCGGGAUGAUAAUGACAGUACCGGGAGAAUAAGCUCCGGCUAACUCCGUG